This 1772-nucleotide long non-coding RNA is filed under the name Zostera marina. RNAcentral describes it as "long non-coding RNA (ZMAR_LNC000083)". Lineage: Eukaryota; Viridiplantae; Streptophyta; Magnoliopsida; Alismatales; Zosteraceae. The record is from RNAcentral.
AAGAAACGAAAGUGGAGUAAAGAAUCUCAACACUACGGCAAGGUUGGGAUACGAACGGAGACGAAACUCCGACGAGGGGUCAUCCGACGAUCGUGUGAGGUGGUGCUUGGGUGGGUGGAAAUCGUGGUGUGGAUUGUGUAUAGAGAGGUCUCAAAGGCAAGGGAAGGUAUGUGAUUUCGUUUAAUGUUAUGAUGCUGGAACAGAAAAUAAAAUGUGAGAUUCUUGUGCCAUUGUUGGAUCUAUGUGUAAGUUGAUAAUGAUUAGUGUAGGAAGUUGGAGUUGGGUUGGACUCUGUAGGUGUUAGGGUGGAAAACAAGGAAUACAGUGUGACCUUUAAAAUAGCAUCAAAUCAAUGAUGUGUGAAACUUAUCGUGGGUUGGAGUUCUGUAGAACCAUGUGAUAUUUAUUAGGUGUCUUCUAUUAUGUUUUUAUGUUUAGAUAAUGGCUUGUCAUGUCUUUACUCUUAUGAGUUAUGUUAAUGGUGCGUGGAAGAAUAAUUGCAGGAAUGUUAUCUAAAAUAUUUUCAGAAGAUCUUGAGGUCAGUUCUGGGUUUUGAGGAUUUUACACAGAUUUCCUUCAUGUUUAUCUUCUCAGAAGAUUUUAGAUUUUUGUGGGUUCGAUCGAGAUUUUAAUUGUGGUUAUUUCUUUCGGUAUUUUUAAGGGAUUUUAGAUUUCAAUUUUGGGUUGUUGUAGGAUUUUAUUUGUGUUUAUUCAGUACCAACAGAAGAUCUUAUAUUAGAAUUCUGGAUUUUUAGGGUUUAAUGGAUAGGGCAAAUGAGUGAUAAAUUAUAUUUAGCGAUAAGUAAGUAAAUAGUGGUGAUGUUAAACAGUUGAGAAUCUCAUAUUGGGUAGUGUUGUGGACCUGUGGUUAUAUUACUGAGCUGAAUUUAAACGGUUGAUUUCAUUUAGAUCAUUUUGUUGGUUUUGAUAUUUUUGAUUUUCAGCCUUCAUACCUUUGUUUUUUAGAUUUUUCGACUUUAGAUUUCGUGUUAGUUCACUCGGCUUUUCGGGUUUUGUUUUCCAUCUAGAUUUACUUUUAUUUUCAUGAUUAUUUAUGAGUUCCCUGAAGAAUCAUGGGUUGGGUAUUUAACAUCAUGUGUUUCUAAAUGGUGGUGAAAUAAAUAUAUCUUAAUUGUUUUUUUUUAGAUUUGACUAAAUGAUUCAUCAAGACAUAUUUUAUUUCUUUCUCUUAUAUUUUCUACAUUGGGUUGCAUGUGGGCUAGAUGCAUAAGGUAAGGGUUAUUGGGUUGAUGAGUGGGUGAUUUAUAAUAUGUGAUAAUUACAUUGCAGAAUAGUGAGUGGAUAACAUUGAUGGGAAGUGAAUUACAGUUAUAGUGUGAGUGUUAUGUAAUAGCGUAGAAUAUUGUGAUUCCCAUUGAUUUCCAUGAUUAUGAUUCUUUUUCUGUGAUGUGGCUAACGUUAAGGGACCUAUACUGAGUCGAUAAAAUAUUUGACUCACCCAUCCUUGUGUUCAUUGUGUGAUAGGAUGGAAAUAUGGAAUCAAUGAAAAGAGGCACGACAGUGAAGGGGCGAAGUUCAUUGCGUUUUUGUUUUGUUAAACCUUAUUUCUGAUAGAGAUUAUGGUUUAGGUGGAUUAUGAAACAUGCAUGUUAUUGGGGUAUUGGUACUCAAACUUAUGAACAUGUUCGACCUAUAUUGUGAUUGUUAUUAAAUGACUAUACUUACUCUCAUGUGUGAGUGCUUUUAUGUGACAUGAAUUAAGUAUUAGUCAUUGAAUCGUUAAUAUCCCAACGAGGGAUGUUUGUAGCGGC